GAGGAUUGUGUUUGGUGGCAUUUGAUCAUAAUACAAACCAUGACGCAAAUCAUUUCAAUGGGUGGUAAUUAUUAGUUUUGCAUAGAAGAUUGAGCUUCACAGUUACUUUGUACACACUCAUCAGUGGUGCUCUCUCCUAUAGCCAAGUAUUAUGGAGGGUUGUGGAUGGUGGCAUUUGAUCAUGAUACGAACCAUGACACAAAUCAUUUCAAUGGGUGAUG
This 221-nucleotide long non-coding RNA is filed under the name Elaeis guineensis (African oil palm). Its description in RNAcentral is "long non-coding RNA (EGUI_LNC022093)". Lineage: Eukaryota; Viridiplantae; Streptophyta; Magnoliopsida; Arecales; Arecaceae. The record is from RNAcentral.